AGCGAACGCUGGCGGCAGGCCUAACACAUGCAAGUCGAACGGACCUUUCGGGGUUAGUGGCGGACGGGUGAGUAACACGUGGGAACGUGCCUUUAGGUUCGGAAUAGCUCCUGGAAACGGGUGGUAAUGCCGAAUGUGCCCUUCGGGGGAAAGAUUUAUCGCCUUUAGAGCGGCCCGCGUCUGAUUAGCUAGUUGGUUGAGGUAACGGCUCACCAAGGCGACGAUCAGUAGCUGGUCUGAGAGGAUGGCCCGCCACAUUGGGACUGAGACACGGCCCAAACUCCUACGGGAGGCAGCAGUGGGGAAUCUUGCGCAAUGGGCGAAAGCCUGACGCAGCCAUGCCGCGUGAAUGAUGAAGGUCUUAGGAUUGUAAAAUUCUUUCACCGGCGACGAUAAUGACGGUACCCGGAGAAGAAGCCCCGGCUAACUUCGUG
This 434-nucleotide ribosomal RNA is filed under the name uncultured bacterium. Its description in RNAcentral is "partial 16S ribosomal RNA". It matches the Rfam family "Bacterial small subunit ribosomal RNA", at positions 29 to 507 of the family's 1533-position model. The record is from RNAcentral.